Molecule: long non-coding RNA, 1187 nt
Organism: Leopardus geoffroyi (Geoffroy's cat)
Lineage: Eukaryota; Metazoa; Chordata; Mammalia; Carnivora; Felidae
Exons: 3
Source: RefSeq, a predicted model, not a curated record
GCCACCGGAUGGCCUGGACGCUUCGACGGCGUGAGGCUGCGUGGGGCCGGCCGCCGCCGCCAGGGGGCAACCGCCGCCCGCGCUUCUGGUCUGAGUUCCCCGGUCGGUCUCGGUCGGGGACGCACGGACCUAGCGCUCUCCCGCUAAAGUGGUGUCGUUAAGCGGAGUCCUGAGCCCACCGGGCAGGCUCUGCGAUCAGCAGGGCAAAGGCUCGCCUGCCGUUCCCUGCACCCCCGCCCCCCACCGGGCCCCGGCCUUGGUCUCCAGACCCCUCCCGUACAGAGAACUGCCGAGAACUGCUGCGCUGACCUCCAGGUUCCCAAUCUGACAGCUGCAGGUCACCCUGCCUUCUCUGCAGCCCACUUGCCCGGACCCAUCUGCAUUACACUUGGGUUCUUCAAAGCCGUUUUUUCCAGCUCCUCCUUAAUCCUCUCCCUUUCCACCCAGUAUCUGCUCCCACUCCCUCCACAGCCCGAAAUCUGCUGCAGAUGAGCAGUUUCCGGAGGAGAUGCGAAUUUGGGUGGUUCUUUCUAGGCUGUGAAGUUCUUGGGGGAGGAGGGCAGGGAAUUCCCUUAGAGCAAAAUACUAGCAGCACUUUUAAGGGCAAAGAGCUCUUUUUAUUCCAUGGCCUUCGGGGAGCCUGGAGCCCGCUAGAGGCCCGGCUGGUGUGUGACGCUCAUUCACCAAGCUGGUCACUGACGAGACUGAGGAAGUCCUAGACGGAGCAAGAAUGGGCAGAGGCUGAAGGUAGAGGUUUUCUUUUUAUAUAUACAAGACACAUUAAUCCAUUAAAUUUGAGGACACAGUACAAAAAAAAAAAAAAACAAAACAAAACACUUCAACUAAUUCAUCUGACAAUGCUGUUCAUAUUCAUGACGCCAUUUUUUGUUGUUGUCUUGUUUCCUAAUAAUAAAGGAGGAGACUUAGGGCUGUUGGGCUGAUAUAUAUUUGGGGGUCCCCCCUCCCCACCUCAUCCAUACACCACCAGGGUGAACAGGAGGAGAAGGAAGGCAGGGCCCACAGCAAAGUUUCAUAAUCUUGAAUGCAAGGGGGGAGGAAGAGAGGAAAGGGGGGAGGGAAAGGAGAAAAUACAAAUCCUAUAAUACAUACAACAGAGUGGGGGGUGGGAUGGGAAUGGACAGACAUGAAGCUGAGGCAUGGGGUGGGCUGCUGGGGAGAGCACACGU